This 63-nucleotide transfer RNA is filed under the name Andraca trilochoides. RNAcentral describes it as "tRNA-Ser". Lineage: Eukaryota; Metazoa; Arthropoda; Insecta; Lepidoptera; Endromidae. The record is from RNAcentral.
AAUAUAAAGAUUAAAUAAAGCUGCUAACUUUAAUUUUAGUGGUUAAAUUCCAUUAAUAUUUCU